UACGAAGGGGGCUAGCGUUGUUCGGAAUUCCUGGGCGUAAAGAGCGUGUAGGCGGCCAUACAGGUCAGCUGUGAAAACUCGAGGCUCAACCUCGAGACGUCGGUUGAAACCGUUUGGCUAGAGUCCGGAAGAGGAGAGUGGAAUUCCCGGUGUAGCGGUGAAAUGCGCAGAUAUCGGGAAGAACACCCGUGGCGAAGGCGGCUCUCUAGUACGGUACUGACGCUGAGACGCGAAAGCGUGGGGAGCGAACAGG
RNAcentral lists this ribosomal RNA (253 nucleotides) under uncultured bacterium. RNAcentral's name for it is "partial 16S ribosomal RNA". It matches the Rfam family "Bacterial small subunit ribosomal RNA", at positions 524 to 776 of the family's 1533-position model. The record is from RNAcentral.